GAACGCUAGCGGCAGGCCUAACACAUGCAAGUCGAGGGGUAACAUAGAAGAGCUUGCUUUUCUGAUGACGACCGGCGCACGGGUGCGUAACGCGUAUGCAACCUACCUCUUACUGGAGGAUAGCCCGAAGAAAUUCGGAUUAAUACUCCAUAGUAUUUCUUUCUCACCUGAGAUUGAAAUUAAAGGUUACGGUAAGAGAUGGGCAUGCGUCCUAUUAGCUAGAUGGUAAGGUAACGGCUUACCAUGGCUACGAUAGGUAGGGGGCCUGAGAGGGUGAUCCCCCACACUGGUACUGAGACACGGACCAGACUCCUACGGGAGGCAGCAGUGAGGAAUAUUGGGCAAUGGAGGCAACUCUGACCCAGCCAUGCCGCGUGCAGGAAGACGGUCCUAUGGAUUGUAAACUGCUUUUAUUUGUGAAUAAACUCCGGUACGUGUACCGGCCUGAAUGUAGCAAAUGAAUA
RNAcentral lists this ribosomal RNA (464 nucleotides) under uncultured Bacteroidota bacterium. Its description in RNAcentral is "bacterial SSU rRNA". It matches the Rfam family "Bacterial small subunit ribosomal RNA", at positions 31 to 488 of the family's 1533-position model. Lineage: Bacteria; Pseudomonadati; Bacteroidota. The record is from RNAcentral.